ACUCAAAUGAAUAGACGGGGGCCCGCACAAGCGGUGGAGCAUGUUGUUUAAUACGUCACUAACCGUAGAACCUUACCAGGGCUUGACAUCGUCGGACCGUCCCGGAAACGGGAUUUUCCCCGCAAGGGGACCGGAUGACAGGUGUUGCAUGGCUGUCGUCAGCUCGUGUCGUGAGAUGUUGGGUUAAGUCCCGCAACGAGCGCAACCCUCACCCCAUGUUGCCAGCGGAUAAUGCCGGGAACUCUUGGGGAACUGCCUGGGUAACCGGGAGGAAGGUGGGGAUGACGUCAAGUCAGCAUGGCCCUUACGUCCUGGGCUACAAACAUGCUACAAUGGACGGUUUACACAAAGGGAUCCGAUCUCGCGAGAGGGAGGCAAUCUCAGAAAUCCGUUCCCAGUUCGGAUCGCAGGCUGCAACUCGCCUGCGUGAAGUCGGAAUCGCUAGUAACCGCAGAUCAGCGAAGCUGCGGUGAAUACGUUCCCGGGCCUUGUACACACCGCCCGU
This 505-nucleotide ribosomal RNA is filed under the name uncultured bacterium. RNAcentral describes it as "partial 16S ribosomal RNA". It matches the Rfam family "Bacterial small subunit ribosomal RNA", at positions 899 to 1397 of the family's 1533-position model. The record is from RNAcentral.